UUACCUACGGGGGGCAGCAGUGAGGAAUAUUGGUCAAUGGGCGGGAGCCUGAACCAGCCAAGUCGCGUGAGGGAAGACUGCCCUAUGGGUUGUAAACCUCUUUUGUCAGGGAGCAACGCCGGCUACGUGUAGCCGGACUGAGAGUACCUGAAGAAAAAGCAUCGGCUAACUCCGUGCCAGCAGCCGCGGUAAUACGGAGGAUGCGAGCGUUAUCCGGAUUUAUUGGGUUUAAAGGAUGCGUAGGCGGAAUGCCAAGUCAGCGGUAAAAUCGCGGGGCUCAACCUCGCGCCGCCGUGUAAACUGGG
RNAcentral lists this ribosomal RNA (305 nucleotides) under uncultured bacterium. Its description in RNAcentral is "bacterial SSU rRNA". It matches the Rfam family "Bacterial small subunit ribosomal RNA", at positions 335 to 637 of the family's 1533-position model. The record is from RNAcentral.